Molecule: transfer RNA, 73 nt
Filed under: Ovis aries (sheep)
Lineage: Eukaryota; Metazoa; Chordata; Mammalia; Artiodactyla; Bovidae
Rfam family: tRNA
About the family: Transfer RNA (tRNA) molecules are approximately 80 nucleotides in length. Their secondary structure includes four short double-helical elements and three loops (D, anti-codon, and T loops). Further hydrogen bonds mediate the characteristic L-shaped molecular structure. tRNAs have two regions of fundamental functional importance: the anti-codon, which is responsible for specific mRNA codon recognition, and the 3' end, to which the tRNAs corresponding amino acid is attached (by aminoacyl-tRNA synthetases). tRNAs cope with the degeneracy of the genetic code in two manners: having more than one tRNA (with a specific anti-codon) for a particular amino acid; and 'wobble' base-pairing, i.e. permitting non-standard base-pairing at the 3rd anti-codon position.
Source: Rfam by way of RNAcentral
UCCCCGGUGGUCCAGUGGUUAGGACUCCAUGUUUUCAAUGCUGAGGGCACAGGUUCAAACCCUGGUUGGGGAA